GUAGGGUGCGAGCGUUAAUCGGAAUUACUGGGCGUAAAGCGUGCGCAGGCGGUUGUGCAAGACAGAUGUGAAAUCCCCGGGCUUAACCUGGGAACUGCAUUUGUGACUGCACGGCUAGAGUGCGGCAGAGGGGAGUGGAAUUCCGCGUGUAGCAGUGAAAUGCGUAGAUAUGCGGAGGAACACCGAUGGCGAAGGCAGCUCCCUGGGCCUGCACUGACGCUCAUGCACGAAAGCGUGGGGAGCAAACAGGAUUAGAUACCCUGGUAGUCCACGCCCUAAACGAUGUCAACUGGUUGUUGGUCCUUCACUGGAUCAGUAACGUAGCUAACGCGUGAAGUUGACCGCCUGGGGAGUACGGCCGCAAGGUUG
Molecule: ribosomal RNA, 369 nt
Filed under: uncultured beta proteobacterium
Lineage: Bacteria; Pseudomonadati; Pseudomonadota; Betaproteobacteria
Description: bacterial SSU rRNA
Rfam family: Bacterial small subunit ribosomal RNA
Source: RNAcentral